GCCUGAUGCAGUAGUUCUGUGGCAUUGUCUUCAUACGGGACGGACUCUAGUUGAUGAAGAAGCAUCUGAACUGAGACGAGCUACUAGUAACCGAAGAUGUCUUGGAACACAAUGUCUGUCCUGUUCGUGGUUCUGAUAUUGAGUGGAGCUGCCAUGAGUUUCCCUCGAGAGAAGCGGGCCUGCCAUAUCGUUAUAAACGAGUGUGUGACGGCUGACGGUCUGGAUUGUGACACCAGUCCCCUGGACCCUUGCCUGUGUAAAACGGAGACUAUCUGUGUGAAUCCAGAAUGCCCACCUGACUCUAUUUCCUGCAUUGGGUGAUGCUAAUCUGCCAGCUGAGUACGGUGACAUAUGGUCGUUGGCUGCUUCAACUGACUAGGUGGUUGUUUUUUCGGCAUUGGGCGGCGAAGUAGUCCACGUAGAGGAGAUAUCGCAGGCUAUGUGAUACAUUUUGUAAUAACGUUAACGCCCCGCCUUCAAACCACCGAAUGAGCGUAUUAUCACACCUGACCAGGGAUUAUCUCACCAUAUACACCUCGUGGCGAGACAUUAACCCUUUAUGCUUUAUUUGCAAAAUCAUGCCCAAAGGCUGU
Long non-coding RNA from Branchiostoma belcheri (Belcher's lancelet), 593 nucleotides. RefSeq lists it as uncharacterized. The transcript has 4 exons. The record is from RefSeq and is a predicted model, not a curated record. NCBI's taxonomy places the organism in Eukaryota, Metazoa, Chordata, Leptocardii, Amphioxiformes, Branchiostomatidae.